GUGAGAGUAGUUUAACAAAAACGUUAGAUUGUGAUUCUGAAGAUAAGGACUAAAACCCCUUCCCCCACC
RNAcentral lists this transfer RNA (69 nucleotides) under Aulostomus chinensis (Chinese trumpetfish). Its description in RNAcentral is "tRNA-His". It matches the Rfam family "tRNA". Rfam says of the family: Transfer RNA (tRNA) molecules are approximately 80 nucleotides in length. Their secondary structure includes four short double-helical elements and three loops (D, anti-codon, and T loops). Further hydrogen bonds mediate the characteristic L-shaped molecular structure. tRNAs have two regions of fundamental functional importance: the anti-codon, which is responsible for specific mRNA codon recognition, and the 3' end, to which the tRNAs corresponding amino acid is attached (by aminoacyl-tRNA synthetases). tRNAs cope with the degeneracy of the genetic code in two manners: having more than one tRNA (with a specific anti-codon) for a particular amino acid; and 'wobble' base-pairing, i.e. permitting non-standard base-pairing at the 3rd anti-codon position. The record is from RNAcentral. Lineage: Eukaryota; Metazoa; Chordata; Actinopteri; Syngnathiformes; Aulostomidae.